CAGUCGCCGCGGUAAUACGUAGGGUGCAAGCGUUAAUCGGAAUUACUGGGCGUAAAGCGUGCGCAGGCGGUUCUAUAAGACAGAUGUGAAAUCCCCGGGCUCAACCUGGGAACUGCAUUUGUGACUGUAGAGCUGGAGUGCGGCAGAGGGGGAUGGAAUUCCGCGUGUAGCAGUGAAAUGCGUAGAUAUGCGGAGGAACACCGAUGGCGAAGGCAAUCCCCUGGGCCUGCACUGACGCUCAUGCACGAAAGCGUGGGGAGCGAACAGGAUUAGAUACCCGGGUAGUCCCUGUCUCUUAUAC
Molecule: ribosomal RNA, 301 nt
Filed under: uncultured bacterium
Lineage: Bacteria
Description: partial 16S ribosomal RNA
Rfam family: Bacterial small subunit ribosomal RNA
Source: RNAcentral